GGGGAUACAGCCUGCUCCUUCCGCAGGUGAAGCCUCCUGUGAGGAUACCAACGUUACCUCAGGUGCAUAUGCUCUUCAGAAGAUUCUGGAGACUGUGCUUCUGAGGCGUGAAGUGGUAAACGGAGAAGACAAGGAAACCCAGACAGAGGAGCCACCGCCCCAGGCUGGGGUAUCUCAGGAGAGCCGUCAUCUGGGUUUCAAGAUCGAACCUGGACGUUUCCAAGCAGAAGGGUGCAGGGCUGGAGGGGUGGUCUCUACAUGGAGAAGACAGACAUCAGUGUGGUCUCUACAUGGAGAAGACAGACUUCAGUGACUUAGUGUGUCUGAGCGUUGUGGGGAAGUGUCAGGAGACGCUGGAAAGCAUUUGGAAAAACGUGGCAUACAUCCCUAGAUCACUGAGCAAUGGCAUGAGACAGGUGUCAUUCCAGAAACUAUUCAGAGUUGAACAAGAAAGGAAAUGCAAUCACAGCUUGCCACUCACACCAGCAGAGAACAGAGGAGGCCAAAAUAAAAAAGACUAUAUAAACAAAAAUCAUAAUAUCUAAGUUGGGGGGCUGUGGGGAGUUGAACUGGGGUAAUGAGAGCAGGCAACUCCUCAGGCGCCCUAACGGAAGUUGAUGAAAUGACCGGAAAUGAACAAAUCAAGAAAUAAGAGCGCGUGCACGUUAUUUAGAAACAGGCGCAGAAAUUCUACAAGAAUUAGGUAGGAGUGCAAAGUUGUAGCUUGGAGGGUGGGUGGAUGCAGGUAAGGAGAGGUGGAGCAGGGCAUCGUCCUUUGGAUGGAACUGUACGUGAGCUGAGCUUUUGUUUGACUGAAUACUUUUUUUCAAGGACAAGGAGGUUCUGCACCAGCUGAGCUUUCUGGUGCGCCAUGAAAUUGCACCAGAAUUUGUCUUUAUGGCAUGUUUCUCCUCAUACGAGAUCAAGAAGAACCCGUCUGGAUCCGAAAAUACACACAGAGACGACGAGGACACACAAGGGGACCUCUUUUCUUCCCGACGCUUUCGUCAACUCAAGAAAACUUGUUCGUCAAGGCAGCCGUUGCUCUACUGACUUGCAUCAUGCCUGCCCCCAGCCACAUUUUUCAGAGACAGCGUCUCGCAUCUGGGAUUUCACAAGCGACAGUGGGGGAGGUGGGUGGGAGCCGAGCGCGGUCCUUGCUCCUGCAUUCUCGGGAUGGAAUGAGACAGAGCCUGUUUGGCGCGGAAGACAGAGCUCUGGGGAUGAAUUUAUCAGAUAAACUACAAUUUUCUCUGUGCUUAUCGUCUGAACCAGAAAUUACAAUCUUGAACACUUGUGGAGCUGGAAAAGCUCGAUCUGUGUCAGCACGGCCCUAGAAGUGGACAAGACGCCUGAAGGGCAGUCUGGCCUUUGGAAUCCGUCCAUGCCUGUUUCUCCGGAGGGACUCAGGCCCCAUCCCCACCAGCAGAAAGCCAGCGUGCUUGGGAAUACACAGAGCUAUGCGUAAAAUGGAAAUGUUUACAAUGCAGAAUCUGUGCUGUCCAGUCUAAGUGGGGCCGGCGUACUAUUAAAAGCGAGAGACGAGAAACGUGAAGAGAACAAAAGCCGUGCCGUCCAGCAAAGCCACAAUAUCCAGUCCCACAUCACGUCCAUUGCCCCAAAGGAAGUCCUCAUUGAGCAACCUCUUCCCACCCCCUCAGCCCCCAGCCCCUGGUAACCACGGACUCGCUUUCUGUCUCUAUAGAUGGGCUGAAUCUGGAGAGUUCCUAUAACUGGAAUCACACAGCAUGAUUUGUGUCUGGCUGCUCUGACCUCGCACAGUAUUUUCAAGGUUCAUGAAUGUUAUAUAGCAUGUAUCAACACUUCCUUUUUAUACCAGAAGAUUGCAUUAUGAUACCACACUUUGGAGUUCCUGUGGUGGCUCAGUGAUUAACAAACCCAACUAGGAUCCAUGAGGAAGCAGGUUCGAUCCCUGGGCUCGCUCAGUGGGUUAAGGAUCCCGGGCUGCAGUGAGCCGUGGUGUAGGUCGCAGAUGCAGGUCAGAUCUGGCAUUGCUGUGGCUGUGGUGUAGGCUGGCAGCUGCAGCUCUGAUUAGACCCCUAGCCUGGGAACCUCCAUAUGCUGAGGGUAUGACCCUAAAAAGCAAAAUAAUAAUAAUCAUCAUUAUAAUAGCACACUUUAUUUAUCCAUGCAUCUGUUGAUGGACAUUUGGGUCGGUCCACUUGGGGCUAUGGUAAACAGUGCUGCUGCAAACAUCUGAGGGCACGUGUUUGAGUUGUUGUGUUCAGAUCUUUGGGGUACCUGCUGAGGAGUUGAAAUGCUGGGUCAUAUGAUAAUUUUAUUUUAUUUUAUUUUUAAUUUUAUUUAUUUAUUUAU
This 2337-nucleotide long non-coding RNA is filed under the name Sus scrofa (pig). RNAcentral describes it as "lncRNA (ENSSSCG00040057029.1)". Lineage: Eukaryota; Metazoa; Chordata; Mammalia; Artiodactyla; Suidae. The record is from RNAcentral.